This 483-nucleotide ribosomal RNA is filed under the name uncultured bacterium. RNAcentral's name for it is "partial 16S ribosomal RNA". It matches the Rfam family "Bacterial small subunit ribosomal RNA", at positions 28 to 507 of the family's 1533-position model. The record is from RNAcentral.
GACGAACGCUGGCGGCGUGCUUAACACAUGCAAGUCGAACGCUGAAGCUCAGCUUUUGUUGGGUGGAUGAGUGGCGAACGGGUGAGUAACACGUGAGUAACCUGCCCCCUUCUUUGGGAUAACGCCCGGAAACGGGUGCUAAUACUGGAUAUUCACUGGUCUUCGCAUGGGGGUUGGUGGAAAGGGUUUUUCUGGUGGGGGAUGGGCUCGCGGCCUAUCAGCUUGUUGGUGGGGUGAUGGCCUACCAAGGCUUUGACGAGUAGCCGGCCUGAGAGGGUGACCGGUCACAUUGGGACUGAGAUACGGCCCAGACUCCUACGGGAGGCAGCAGUGGGGAAUAUUGCACAAUGGGCGCAAGCCUGAUGCAGCGACGCCGCGUGAGGGAUGGAGGCCUUCGGGUUGUGAACCUCUUUCGCUCAUGGUCAAGCCGCAACAAUGGUUGUGGUGAGGGUAGUGGGUAAAGAAGCGCCGGCUAACUACGUG